UUGACCUCGGAUCAGGUAGGAAUACCCGCUGAACUUAAGCAUAUCAAUAAGCGGAGGAAAAGAAACCAACAGGGAUUGCCCUAGUAACGGCGAGUGAAGCGGCAACAGCUCAAAUUUGAAAUCUGGCUCUCGGGCCCGAGUUGUAAUUUGUAGAGGAUACUUUUGAUGCGGUGCCUUCCGAGUUCCCUGGAACGGGACGCCAUAGAGGGUGAGAGCCCCGUCUGGUUGGAUGCCAAAUCUCUGUAAAGUUCCUUCAACGAGUCGAGUAGUUUGGGAAUGCUGCUCUAAAUGGGAGGUAUAUGUCUUCUAAAGCUAAAUACCGGCCAGAGACCGAUAGCGCACAAGUAGAGUGAUCGAAAGAUGAAAAGCACUUUGAAAAGAGAGUUAAAAAGUACGUGAAAUUGUUGAAAGGGAAGCGUUUAUGACCAGACUUGGGCUUGGUUAAUCAUCUGGGGUUCUCCCCAGUGCACUUUUCCAGUCCAGGCCAGCAUCAGUUUUCCCCGGGGGAUAAAGGCGGCGGGAAUGUGGCUCUCUUCGGGGAGUGUUAUAGCCCACCGUGUAAUACCCUGGGGGGGACUGAGGUUCGCGCAU
This 591-nucleotide ribosomal RNA is filed under the name Fusarium oxysporum. RNAcentral describes it as "eukaryotic LSU rRNA". It matches the Rfam family "Eukaryotic large subunit ribosomal RNA", at positions 1 to 602 of the family's 3401-position model. RNAcentral also lists the same sequence under 1 other name. Lineage: Eukaryota; Fungi; Ascomycota; Sordariomycetes; Hypocreales; Nectriaceae. The record is from RNAcentral.